Molecule: ribosomal RNA, 1671 nt
Filed under: Triticum aestivum (bread wheat)
Lineage: Eukaryota; Viridiplantae; Streptophyta; Magnoliopsida; Poales; Poaceae
Description: partial small subunit ribosomal RNA
Source: RNAcentral
AUGGCGGCGUACCACCCUGCCGCGGCGCUCUCCUUCCUCCUCGUGCUCUCGCUCUUCCUCCUGGCCCGCGCCGACCCGCCGCCGGCCACGCCGGUGCCGCCCUCCACGGCGUGCGACGACACGACGGACCCCGCAUUCUGCCGCUCCGUGCUCCCGGCCAACGGCACCGGCAACCUCUACGCCUACGGCCGCUUCUCCGCCGCCAGGUCCCUCUCCAACGCCAACCGGUUCCUCGGCCUCGUCAACCGGUACCUCGCCCGCGGCGGCCUCUCCGGCGCCGCGGUCGCCGCGCUGCAGGACUGCCAGCUCCUCUCCGGGCUCAACAUCGACUUCCUCUCCGCGGCCGGCGCCACGCUGAACACCACCAAGUCGGCGCUCCUCAACCCGCAGGCCGAGGACGUGCAGACGCUGCUGUCGGCCAUCCUGACCAACCAGCAGACGUGCGCCGACGGCCUGCAGGCCGCCGCGUCGGUGUGGUCCGUGCGCAGCGGCCUCGCCGUGCCCAUGGCCAACAGCACCAAGCUCUACAGCAUCUCGCUCUCGCUCUUCACCCGGGCGUGGGUGCCCCGCGGCAAGGGCAGGAAGCCGAGGCCGGCGCCGUCGUCGUCCGCGAAGCCGCCUCGGCAGCGCGGGAGGGGCCUGUUCGACGCCACGGACGACGAGAUGGUGCGCAGGAUGGCGCUCGAGGGGGCCGUGGCGGCGGUGUCGGUGGCCGGCGCGGUGACCGUGGACCAGAGCGGCGCGGGGAACUACACGACCGUCGGGGACGCCGUGGCGGCGGCGCCGAGCAACCUUGGCGCCAGCAGCGGGUACUUCGUGAUACGCGUGGCCGCGGGCGUGUACGAGGAGAAUGUGGUGGUGCCCAAGAGCAAGAAGUAUGUCAUGAUGGUCGGCGACGGCAUCGGCCAGACGGUGAUCACCGGCAACCGGAGCGUGGUCGACGGCUGGACCACCUUCAACUCCGCCACGUUCGCCGUGCUCGGGCAAGGGUUCGUGGCGGUGAACAUGACGUUCCGCAACACGGCGGGGCCGGCGAAGCACCAGGCGGUGGCGCUCCGGAGCGGGGCCGACCUCUCGACGUUCUACCAGUGCAGCUUCGAGGGGUACCAGGACACGCUCUACACCCACUCCCUCCGCCAGUUCUACCGCGCGUGCGACGUCUACGGCACCGUCGACUACGUCUUCGGCAACGCCGCCGUCGUGUUCCAGGACUGCACGCUCUACAACCGCCUCCCCAUGGCCGGCCAGAGCAACACCGUCACGGCGCAGGGCCGCUCCGACCCGAACCAGAACACGGGCACCACCAUCCAGGGCUGCUCCAUCGUGGCCGCGCCGGAGCUCGCCGCCAACACGGCCUUCGCCACCGCCACCUACCUGGGGCGGCCGUGGAAGAUGUACUCGCGCACGGUGAUCAUGCAGUCGGACGUGGCCGGGCUCGUCGACCCGGCGGGCUGGAUGCCGUGGAGCGGCGACUUCGCGCUCGCCACGCUCUACUACGCCGAGUACGACAACUCCGGCGCUGGGUCGGACACGAGCAGGAGGGUGAACUGGCCGGGGUACCACGUGCUCAACAGCACCGUCGACGCCGGCAACUUCACCGUCGCCAACAUGGUGCUCGGGGAUUUCUGGCUGCCGCAAACCGGCGUGCCCUUCACCGUCGGGCUCAACUGA